GGCGCGCGUGCCGGAGCACUGGCGGCCGGCUGCGCCCAUGCAGCAGCAGGUGCAUCAGUGCGUCGGUUCGUGUUCGGUGCACGGCCACGCCC
RNAcentral lists this transfer RNA (92 nucleotides) under Ralstonia mannitolilytica. Its description in RNAcentral is "tRNA-Met". The record is from RNAcentral. Lineage: Bacteria; Pseudomonadati; Pseudomonadota; Betaproteobacteria; Burkholderiales; Burkholderiaceae.